Molecule: ribosomal RNA, 484 nt
Filed under: uncultured bacterium
Lineage: Bacteria
Description: partial 16S ribosomal RNA
Rfam family: Bacterial small subunit ribosomal RNA
Source: RNAcentral
AGUGAACGCUGGCGGCAGGCCUAACACAUGCAAGUCGAGCGGCAGCGCGGGGGCAACCCUGGCGGCGAGCGGCGGACGGGUGAGGAAUUCGUCGGAAUCUGCCUUUUUGUGGGGGAUAACGUAGGGAAACUUACGCUAAUACCGCAUACGUCCUACGGGAGAAAGUGGGGGACCGCAAGGCCUCACGCAGAAAGAUGAGCCGACGACCGAUUAGCUAGUUGGUGGGGUAAAGGCCCACCAAGGCGACGAUCGGUAGCUGGUCUGAGAGGAUGAUCAGCCACACUGGGACUGAGACACGGCCCAGACUCCUACGGGAGGCAGCAGUGGGGAAUAUUGGACAAUGGGCGCAAGCCUGAUCCAGCCAUGCCGCGUGUGUGAAGAAGGCCUUCGGGUUGUAAGGCACUUUUGUCCGGAAAGAAAUCCCUGGAGCUAAUACCUUCGGGGGAUGACGGUACCGGAAGAAUAAGCACCGGCUAACUUCGUG